RNAcentral lists this ribosomal RNA (253 nucleotides) under uncultured bacterium. Its description in RNAcentral is "partial 16S ribosomal RNA". It matches the Rfam family "Bacterial small subunit ribosomal RNA", at positions 524 to 776 of the family's 1533-position model. The record is from RNAcentral.
CACGUAGGGGGCAAGCGUUGUCCGGAUUUAUUGGGCGUAAAGAGCGUGUAGGCGGCCAGAUAGGUCCGUUGUGAAAACUCGAGGCUCAACCUCGAGACGCCGAUGGAAACCACUUGGCUAGAGUCCGGAAGAGGAGAGUGGAAUUCCGAGUGUAGAGGUGAAAUUCGUAGAUAUUCGGAAGAACACCAGUGGCGAAGGCGGCUCACUGGACUGGUAUUGACGCUGAGGUGCGAAAGCGUGGGGAGCAAACAGG